GAAUACCAGUCUCCUGGCGGCGGCUGGCACAGCGGAGCUGCUCUCCAAGCAGCGGGGUUCCCAGGCUGGGAAGUUUGCAUUGCCGUUUCUUUGCGGGCGGGCGGCGAGCGCCGACUGCAUGCCACCUGCGAGAGGAAGAGGCCGGUGAAGUCUCACUCUGUUGCCCAGGCUGGAGUGCAGUGGCACGAUCUCGGCUCGCUGCAACCUCCACCUCCCAGGUUCAAGCGAUCCUUCUGUUUCAGCCUCUCCAGUGGCUGGUAUUACAGGAACACACCACCAUGCCUGGCUAAUGCUUCUCUUUCUAUAAAUGAAGACGUGAGGCCGUGUAAGCUCCAAGAGAGCAGGGAUCUUGUUUGUCUUGGUCACCGUGAUAUUUCAGCUGCUGACCCAGUGCUUGAAGCAUAAAGAGAAACUGAGGCCCAUAAAAUUGAAUGGCUCAUCUCAGAUCAAGUGGCCAGAUCAAUGAAGAGAAGUGUCCUUAGGUCCGGCUGCUGGUGUGAAGUAUGCUCUGGAGGUCUGACAUCCACUCUCCCUCAGACUUUCUAAUACGGCAGGAAUUCCGUCCAUGAUGUGCCAGUUCUGGUAAAUUUCCUAGCAAGCUUGAAGGAAGUGAAGGACAACUGCAAGGAAGGGCAGGAUGGAGCAUGCAGCCCACGUAUUCCCCAGCUUGGUGGGGCAGAAUGCGUUCUUGGCUCCUGAGGAAUGGGCAGGCAACGCACAGGGGUCCUGGGAAGAAAGGGAGAGAAUAUCCUGGGAGAGCCAUAGACCCUGGCACCCUCCUGUGGUCCUUCAUCAGGAUAAAUUUCUAAAAGAAGAAUUACUGGCCAAAGGAUUCCUCUUCAGUUGGAAACAGCAGCAAAGUUCACAGGUCGUGAGUGGAUGUAAAGUGGACGGAACAGGUUGUUGCCAGUCUAUUGGAGUAGGAUGGUAGAUGAGCAGUCCCGUUGGCUAACAGGUGUGGGUAUGCCUGUUUUAAAAAUUAGCAUGUUGUAGGGGAAUAUUUCUCAAACUUUUGUCACGUAUCUACCUCUUAGGCAUUUUUUACUUUAUUCACCUGUACUACUAUUUAAUAUUUUUAAAAUUCAACUGAUUUUUUUUUUUGCUUAAAUACAUGUCUUUAAAACUGGAACUUUAUUCGCCACUGUAAAUGGAAAACCAGUGUCAUUUGCCAUAUAUAGAAGUGAACUAUAUAGUAAAUACGGUGAAAGUGAAAUGGUAUCAUCACACUUGUGCUAGAUUCCAUUUCCUAUAGAAGGUUCUGGGUUUCUUAAAAGGCUUGUUAAAAAGAGAGAUGAGUAAAUGUGAGAGGAAUUUAAGACAUACUAGCACCAUUAAGACUUUCUCCUUAAAGUAAUCUGGAGGAUUUAAAUUGAGAAUUGAAAAAAGUAACUUUAUUUUACAUAAGAAAUUAUGUAAAAGAAUUAUGUUAUUUAAUGCCACAUCCAUACGUCAUCAAGAGUCAACUUGGUGACCACUAGUGGCCCAUGUCCCACACUUUGAGAAACGUGUGUUGGGGUGGGAAUCUGAAGUCAGAAAAACUGGAGUAUGAUAACCACCUCAGCACUUAUUAGAGGCCUUCACUUGGGAAUGAUGACCCUUCCUUGUAGGGUUGUAGUGAGAAUGACAGAUAAUAUAUGAAAAGAUAAAACAUGGUGCCAGAGGCAUUAGCAGGUGCUGCGAAGGGGCUGUUGUAUUUCUUGUUAUACUGGAGUGGUUCUCCACCCUGGAUGCAUAUUAGAAUCAUCUGAAGGGCUUUUUAAAAAUACAGAUAUCAUGACCUCACCCCUGGAGAUCCUAAUUUAAUUGGUCAGGGGUAGGGUUCUGGCAUUGUUACUUGUUUAAAACAAAGUUCCUCCUCCUUCCCAGUGAUUUUAAUUUGUAGCCAGUGUUGGAAAAACCAUGGACUUAACCCUUUCCUAAGAGCUUAGAUCAAUUCUGCAGAUUAGCUAUCUGCCAUUUUGAAAAGGUGGCAUAAGCUCAGGGAAGUAUUCACUGGACAAAAGGAAUUCUGGAUGGCGGAAGCUCUAGGCACCAUCAGGCACUUGCUUUGUGCUGGAAGCUGCAUCAAAUGGCUUGAGCCCAAAGUAGACAUAAGGGCUCCUUAUUUCCCUGGACACUGGGAAAAUCAUUUCUCUUAUUCCAAGAGAACAAUUUUGCUGACCAUGGAAAUACUAUCUCUGGUUUCCAGAGGUACAGUGCUGUUCAGUGCUCUUCUGGAGGUUGUAGUAUGAAGAAAUGACAAAGCCAAAAAGGCAUUCUGACCUAGGGAGACUAUCUUUAAAGCAAAAUAUAAAUGUAGGGCAAAAACUCUGCGGUCUCAGGAGGAUUGGAUCCAGGGGAAAAUGUUUAAAAGGCAAACGUUUAGAAUCAAUUAUACAGCUUCAGCAAUGGUUUGCUAUUGUCUUGCUGUCUUUUUGUUUUGCUUUGUGUAGUGUUCAGAAUAUCUGCAUCAUGUAGCAUCUUUCUAUUUUUAGGAGUCUUUAAACUCCUUUAUUCUGAGGCCCCAGAAUAUUCUCAUCCACCACGUACUUUCACGUGGAGAUGACUGACUUCAUCUUUGACAAUGGCAGUUCCCUAACCUUGAUCCAGCACGGGAGCAGGAAUUAUGGCGAAAAUGGCCACCCAAACUGCACCCAGUGGGAAAACAGCAUUAACUCAGCUUUUAAAAAAGUGUCAACUUGGAAAAUCCAAGACCUAGAUCUGAUGCUUAGGGACCCACAAUGCCAGGCAGCAGUCUGGGAGAUGUCACUUCUGGAGCUUCUAAUGAGAUGCAAAUCACCUAGUGAACUACUGGGGAGCUGGGAAACAAUGUCCUGGGUAAAAGCAGAUAAAAAUGGAAUGAAAGAAUUUCUUUGAAGAUUGGAACGACAUUUUAAGUGCUUGCGGAUAUGGGACACCAGAUAGUGUUGGUUUUACUAAGCUAAUUGUGACGGGGUCUUUGAUUCCCUGCAGCAGGGGACCCUGGGGCACUCGUCUCCAGCUCUGCCUCACUCUUUGAGGAGCUAGUUCCAGUUCUACUGUGAGUGUGCAAGGGGCUGGUCAGCUGUAGCAAAACCAGCACUGGACAUGGGGGAUCAGAAGACCCCGGCACACAUAGUUCAAGUUGUGACACAUAUUGGUAUGUGACCUUAAGUGAAUCCCUUACCCCUCUGCUGCCAUGUUUUAUGUGUAAAAUGAUAAAGAGAGGGGUGGACUGAGGUAGUAAUUUUUAAUGGAGAACAUUGGUGUGGCAAAUUACACAUGUUCUGGCCUGAAGAUUCUGAGCUGCUCUCCUUGGAGUCACAUUCUUUCCCAGUGUGUGAACAUCUGUGUGCAGUGAGAGACAUGCCUGAUGGGGAUCUGUUGCCUGAAGCCAGUGUGAAGGCAGGAAAAGGCUUGUUGGAAUUUAAAUACGACCAAUCAAAAUGUGUUUAGGCUUCAAAGGAAAAAGUUCUCCAUAAAUACACCAGAAUUUCAUUCUAACAUGAUUCAUUCAUUCAAAGAGCACAGCUGCACAAGACCUUUGGAUAUCUCCUCCUCCUUCCCCUUAUCUAUAAAUAUGUAAGAAAGAAAACAUGUUUAAAAUACAAUAUUUUAUUUC
RNAcentral lists this long non-coding RNA (3580 nucleotides) under Homo sapiens (human). RNAcentral describes it as "uncharacterized LOC100130256, transcript variant 13 (LOC100130256)". The record is from RNAcentral. Lineage: Eukaryota; Metazoa; Chordata; Mammalia; Primates; Hominidae.